CUCUCGGUAGCUCAGUUGGUUUCAGCGCAACCUAGAGCAUUUGACUGUAGUGAAUGCAUUCACCAAAAUGUCCCUAGUUCGAUUCUAGGUCGGGAGA
Gracilariopsis chorda is the source of this 97-nucleotide non-coding RNA. Lineage: Eukaryota; Rhodophyta; Florideophyceae; Gracilariales; Gracilariaceae. The record is from the annotation of a GenBank genome assembly.